This 567-nucleotide ribosomal RNA is filed under the name Indotestudo elongata (Elongated tortoise). RNAcentral describes it as "partial large subunit ribosomal RNA". It matches the Rfam family "Bacterial large subunit ribosomal RNA", at positions 1844 to 2626 of the family's 2925-position model. The record is from RNAcentral. Lineage: Eukaryota; Metazoa; Chordata; Testudines; Testudinidae.
CUUAGGGGGUAAUGCCUGCCCAGUGACACUGUUAAACGGCCGCGGUAUCCUAACCGUGCAAAGGUAGCGUAAUAACUUGUCUUUUAAAUAAAGACUAGAAUGAAUGGCCAAACGAGGCUUCACCUGUCUCUUACAAAUAAUCAGUGAAAUUGAUCUUCCCGUGCAAAAGCAGGAAUAAUAUUAUAAGACGAGAAGACCCUGUGGAACUUCAAAGAUAAAAUCAUCUAUCAACAAGAUCCCCCUAAUAGGCAUACUAUCAAAUAGCAUUUGAUUUUUAUUUUCGGUUGGGGCGACCUCAGAACAAAACAAAACCUCUGAAAAAGAAUCAUUCAUUUAAACCUAGAAUCACAAUUCAAAGUGCUACCAGCAAAGCGAUCCAAUAUUAUUUGAUCAACGAACCAAGCUACCCCAGGGAUAACAGCGCAAUCUCAUCCUAGAGUCCCUAUCAACGAUGAGGUUUACGACCUCGAUGUUGGAUCAGGACAUCCUGAUGGUGCAACCGCUAUCAAGGGUUCGUUUGUUCAACGAUUAAUAGUCCCACGUGAUCUGAGUCAAAACCCGGAGAAG